RNAcentral lists this ribosomal RNA (473 nucleotides) under uncultured bacterium. RNAcentral describes it as "SSU rRNA". It matches the Rfam family "Bacterial small subunit ribosomal RNA", at positions 26 to 518 of the family's 1533-position model. The record is from RNAcentral.
AGGACGAACGCUGGCGGCGUGCUUAACACAUGCAAGUCGAGCGGAAAGGCCCUUCGGGGUACUCGAGCGGCGAACGGGUGAGUAACACGUGAGCAAUCUGCCCUUAGCUUCGGGAUAGCCCCGGGAAACCGGGAUUAAUACCGAAUACGACCUCGGCCGACAUCGGCUUUGGUGGAAAGUUUUUCGGCUAGGGAUGAACUCGCGGCCUAUCAGCUUGUUGGUGGGGUAAUGGCCUACCAAGGCGACGACGGGUAGCCGGCCUGAGAGGGCGACCGGCCACACUGGGACUGAGACACGGCCCAGACUCCUACGGGAGGCAGCAGUGGGGAAUAUUGCGCAAUGGGCGAAAGCCUGACGCAGCGACGCCGCGUGGGGGAUGAAGGCCUUCGGGUUGUAAACCCCUUUCAGCAGGGACGAAGCGAGAGUGACGGUACCUGCAGAAGAAGCGCCGGCUACUACGUGCCAGCAGCCGC